GGGGCUGAUUCUGGAUUCGACGGGAUUUGCGAAACCCAAGGUGCAUGCCGAGGGGCGGUUGGCCUCGUAAAAAGCCGCAAAAAAUAGUCGCAAACGACGAAAACUACGCUUUAGCAGCUUAAUAACCUGCUUAGAGCCCUCUCUCCCUAGCCUCCGCUCUUAGGACGGGGAUCAAGAGAGGUCAAACCCAAAAGAGAUCGCGUGGAAGCCCUGCCUGGGGUUGAAGCGUUAAAACUUAAUCAGGCUAGUUUGUUAGUGGCGUGUCCGUCCGCAGCUGGCAAGCGAAUGUAAAG
Molecule: transfer-messenger RNA, 293 nt
Filed under: Escherichia coli
Lineage: Bacteria; Pseudomonadati; Pseudomonadota; Gammaproteobacteria; Enterobacterales; Enterobacteriaceae
Description: partial transfer-messenger RNA
Rfam family: transfer-messenger RNA
About the family: Bacterial tmRNA, also known as 10Sa RNA or SsrA, is named for its dual tRNA and mRNA-like properties.
Source: RNAcentral